This 329-nucleotide ribosomal RNA is filed under the name uncultured eukaryote. RNAcentral describes it as "partial 18S ribosomal RNA". It matches the Rfam family "Eukaryotic small subunit ribosomal RNA", at positions 1470 to 1796 of the family's 1831-position model. The record is from RNAcentral.
CCCUUAGAUGUCCUGGGCCGCACGCGCGCUACACUGAGUGUCUGAGAUACGAGUCUGCCUGGUCCGGCAAGGUCUAGGUAAUCGCUAAAAGACACAUCAUGCUUGGGAUAGAUUAUUGCAAAUAUUAAUCUUGAACGAGGAAUUCCUAGUAAGCGCAAGUCAACAGCUUGCGUUGAUUACGUCCCUGCCCUUUGUACACACCGCCCGUCGCUACUACUGAUUGGAUGGUUAAGCGAGGUUCUCGAACUGCUAGCGACUUAGCUUCGGUGAGGUCGCAGUGUGGGAAGUGAACCUAGCUUUGGUGUCUAGAGGAAGUAAAAGUCGUAACA